This 273-nucleotide ribosomal RNA is filed under the name uncultured bacterium. RNAcentral describes it as "partial 16S ribosomal RNA". It matches the Rfam family "Bacterial small subunit ribosomal RNA", at positions 524 to 796 of the family's 1533-position model. The record is from RNAcentral.
UACGUAGGGACCAAGCGUUGUUCGGAUUUACUGGGCGUAAAGGGAGCGUAGGCGGCAAUUCAAGUCAGUUGUGAAAUCUCCGAGCUUAACUCGGAACGGUCAACUGAUACUGCUUUGCUAGAGUACAGAAGGGGCAAUCGGAAUUCUUGGUGUAGCGGUGAAAUGCGUAGAUAUCAAGAGGAACACCUGAGGUGAAGACGGGUUGCUGGGCUGAUACUGACGCUGAGGCUCGAAAGCUAGGGUAGCAAACAGGAUUAGAUACCCUGGUAGUCC